ACGGCGAUGUCUAACGCAGGUACCCACGAUAUCCUUCGGCCUGGUCACACAACGUGACCCACUUACUUGCGACAGCAUUCGUUGCACGGACACACGCGCGAUCGUUGGCGCGAGGUACCUCGAGGUACGCUCCCGUGCGUCGCGCGUGUUGCGUAUAACUCGAUUCUUUUGGGAUGCUCGUCUCGGGAAUGCUGAUUGCAAACUACUUUCACGCCGAGAGGAAUUCAUCCAGCGGUGGUUGCAGCCGAAAAUUCGCACUGGAAGACGCGAUCGAUUACUCGACUCGAUGGAUCUACGAUGACGGACAAUUAUCAAGAUAACAUUACAUUCACGAUACCACAAGCGACGCUUCGAAAACGAUCCAUCAGAACCACGAAAGAGAGCAGUGAAAUCAUUAAAAUGGCUCCGUAUGAUUACGUUGAAUUAUUGUUCACGACAUAUUGUUCGCUAUGGAAGCAACCGGAAAAACGGUGUUUCGCGAGCUGAUUGCAGAGGUCGGAUACCCUCGCGAACCGCGAUGCAAAUCUGAACUCGCGGUGCGAUUCUGUAACACGAG
RNAcentral lists this unclassified non-coding RNA (556 nucleotides) under Bombus terrestris (buff-tailed bumblebee). RNAcentral's name for it is "misc RNA ENSBTSG00005026773.1". Lineage: Eukaryota; Metazoa; Arthropoda; Insecta; Hymenoptera; Apidae. The record is from RNAcentral.